RNAcentral lists this ribosomal RNA (425 nucleotides) under uncultured bacterium. Its description in RNAcentral is "partial 16S ribosomal RNA". It matches the Rfam family "Bacterial small subunit ribosomal RNA", at positions 354 to 796 of the family's 1533-position model. The record is from RNAcentral.
GUGGGGAAUCUUGCGCAAUGGGCGAAAGCCUGACGCAGCCAUGCCGCGUGAAUGAUGAAGGUCUUAGGAUUGUAAAAUUCUUUCACCGGGGACGAUAAUGACGGUACCCGGAGAAGAAGCCCCGGCUAACUUCGUGCCAGCAGCCGCGGUAAUACGAAGGGGGCUAGCGUUGCUCGGAAUUACUGGGCGUAAAGGGCGCGUAGGCGGACAGUUUAGUCAGAGGUGAAAGCCCAGGGCUCAACCUUGGAAUUGCCUUUGAUACUGGCUGUGUUGAGUUUGGGAGAGGUGAGUGGAACUCCGAGUGUAGGGGUGAAAUUCGUAGAUAUUCGGAAGAACACCAGUGGCGAAGGCGACUCACUGGCCCAAUACUGACGCUGAGGCGCGAAAGCGUGGGGAGCAAACAGGAUUAGAUACCCGGGUAGUCC